RNAcentral lists this ribosomal RNA (852 nucleotides) under Halomonas sp. A-10. Its description in RNAcentral is "bacterial SSU rRNA". It matches the Rfam family "Bacterial small subunit ribosomal RNA", at positions 22 to 865 of the family's 1533-position model. The record is from RNAcentral. Lineage: Bacteria; Pseudomonadati; Pseudomonadota; Gammaproteobacteria; Oceanospirillales; Halomonadaceae.
GCUCAGAUUGAACGCUGGCGGCAGGCCUAACACAUGCAAGUCGAGCGGAAACGAUCCUAGCUUGCUAGGAGGCGUCGAGCGGCGGACGGGUGAGUAAUGCAUAGGAAUCUGCCCGGUAGUGGGGGAUAACCUGGGGAAACCCAGGCUAAUACCGCAUACGCCCUACGGGGGAAAGCAGGGGAUCUUCGGACCUUGCGCUAUUGGAUGAGCCUAUGUCGGAUUAGCUUGUUGGUGAGGUAAAGGCUCACCAAGGCUGCGAUCCGUAGCUGGUCUGAGAGGAUGAUCAGCCACAUCGGGACUGAGACACGGCCCGAACUCCUACGGGAGGCAGCAGUGGGGAAUAUUGGACAAUGGGCGAAAGCCUGAUCCAGCCAUGCCGCGUGUGUGAAGAAGGCUUUCGGGUUGUAAAGCACUUUCAGUGAGGAAGAACGCCUUCGGAUUAAUACUCCGGAGGAGAGACAUCACUCACAGAAGAAGCACCGGCUAACUCCGUGCCAGCAGCCGCGGUAAUACGGAGGGUGCGAGCGUUAAUCGGAAUUACUGGGCGUAAAGCGCGCGUAGGUGGCUUGAUAAGCCGGUUGUGAAAGCCCCGGGCUCAACCUGGGAACGGCAUCCGGAACUGUCAGGCUAGAGUGCAGGAGAGGAAGGUAGAAUUCCCGGUGUAGCGGUGAAAUGCGUAGAGAUCGGGAGGAAUACCAGUGGCGAAGGCGGCCUUCUGGACUGACACUGACACUGAGGUGCGAAAGCGUGGGUAGCAAACAGGAUUAGAUACCCUGGUAGUCCACGCCGUAAACGAUGUCGACUAGCCGUUGGGUUCCUAGAGAACUUUGUGGCGCAGUUAACGCGAUAAGU